UACGAAGGGGGCUAGCGUUGCUCGGAAUCACUGGGCGUAAAGGGCGCGUAGGCGGCCUGUUAAGUCGAACGUGAAAUCCCCGGGCUCAACCCGGGAACUGCGUCCGAUACUGGCAGGCUUGAAUCCGGGAGAGGGAUGCGGAAUUCCUAGUGUAGGAGUGAAAUCCGUAGAUAUUAGGAGGAACACCGGUGGCGAAGGCGGCUGCCUGGACCGAUACUGACGCUGAGACGCGAAAGCGUGGGGAGCAAACAGG
RNAcentral lists this ribosomal RNA (253 nucleotides) under uncultured bacterium. RNAcentral describes it as "partial 16S ribosomal RNA". It matches the Rfam family "Bacterial small subunit ribosomal RNA", at positions 524 to 776 of the family's 1533-position model. The record is from RNAcentral.